This 481-nucleotide ribosomal RNA is filed under the name uncultured bacterium. Its description in RNAcentral is "partial 16S ribosomal RNA". It matches the Rfam family "Bacterial small subunit ribosomal RNA", at positions 28 to 507 of the family's 1533-position model. The record is from RNAcentral.
GAUGAACGCUGGCGGCGUGCUUAACACAUGCAAGUCGAACGAAGCACUUUAUUUGAUUUCCUUCGGGACUGAUUAUUUUGUGACUGAGUGGCGGACGGGUGAGUAACGCGUGGGUAACCUGCCUUGUACAGGGGGAUAACAGUUGGAAACGGCUGCUAAUACCGCAUAAGCGCACAGCAUCGCAUGAUGCAGUGUGAAAAACUGCGGUGGUAUAAGAUGGACCCGCGUUGGAUUAGCUAGUUGGUGAGGUAACGGCCCACCAAGGCGACGAUCCAUAGCCGACCUGAGAGGGUGACCGGCCACAUUGGGACUGAGACACGGCCCAAACUCCUACGGGAAGGAGCAGUGGGGAAUAUUGCACAAUGGGCGAAAGCCUGAUGCAGCGACGCCGCGUGAGCGAAGAAGUAUUUCGGUAUGUAAAGCUCUAUCAGCAGGGAAGAUAAUGACGGUACCUGACUAAGAAGCACCGGCUAAAUACGUG